Molecule: ribosomal RNA, 499 nt
Filed under: uncultured Glomeromycotina
Lineage: Eukaryota; Fungi; Glomeromycota
Description: partial small subunit ribosomal RNA
Rfam family: Eukaryotic small subunit ribosomal RNA
Source: RNAcentral
CCAAUAGCGUAUAUUAAAGUUGUUGCAGUUAAAAAGCUCGUAGUUGAAUUUCGGGAUUAAUUUAUUGGUCGUGCUAUUGUACGUACUGGUAUUAUUGAUUCCUACCUUCUGACGAACCACGAUGUCAUUAAUUUGGUGUCAUGGGGAAUCAGGACUGUUACUUUGAAAAAAUUAGAGUGUUUAAAGCAGGCUCACGCUUGAAUACAUUAGCAUGGAAUAACGAAAUAGGACGUUUGAUUCUAUUUUGUUGGUUUCUAGGAUCGACGUAAUGAUUAAUAGGGAUAGUUGGGGGCAUUAGUAUUCAAUUGUCAGAGGUGAAAUUCUUGGAUUUAUUGAAGACUAACUACUGCGAAAGCAUUUGCCAAGGAUGUUUUCAUUAAUCAAGAGCGAAAGUUAGGGGAUCGAAGACGAUCAGAUACCGUCGUAGUCUUAACCAUAAACUAUGCCGACUAGGGAUCGGAUGAUGUUAAUCUUUUAAUGACUCAUUCGGCGCCUUACG